This 220-nucleotide ribosomal RNA is filed under the name uncultured Acidobacteriota bacterium. RNAcentral describes it as "uncultured Acidobacteria bacterium partial 16S ribosomal RNA". It matches the Rfam family "Bacterial small subunit ribosomal RNA", at positions 1086 to 1305 of the family's 1533-position model. The record is from RNAcentral. Lineage: Bacteria; Pseudomonadati; Acidobacteriota.
CCCGCAACGAGCGCAACCCCUGCCUUUAGUUGCCACCAGGUCAAGCUGAGCACUCUAAAGGGACUGCCGGUGAAAAACCGGAGGAAGGUGGGGAUGACGUCAAGUCCUCAUGGCCUUUAUGUCCAGGGCUACACACGUACUACAAUGGGCGGCACAAUGAGUCGCAAACCCGCGAGGGGGAGCCAAUCUCAAAAAACCGUUCUCAGUUCGGAUUGCAGUC